RNAcentral lists this unclassified non-coding RNA (425 nucleotides) under soil metagenome. RNAcentral describes it as "partial contains 5.8S ribosomal RNA, internal transcribed spacer 2, and large subunit ribosomal RNA". The stretch from base 1 to 120 matches the Rfam family "5.8S ribosomal RNA", at positions 35 to 154 of the family's 154-position model. The record is from RNAcentral.
GAUGAAGAACGUAGCGAAAUGCGAUAAGUAGUGUGAAUUGCAGAAUUCCGUGAAUCAUCGAAUCUUUGAACGCACAUUGCGCCUUCUGGUAUUCCGGAAGGCAUGCCUGUUCGGGAGUCAUUAACAACCGUUUCGAUCCCUUUCUUUCAGAAAUUACAAAGAGGAAAAGGGUUUGGUUAUGGUGGAGGAGGGAAAGGGAGCGUUUAGCCUGUAAAAAAAGAGGCUGUGUUCCGCCUCCCCCCCAAAAUUGUACAGGCGGUCGUGUGCGCCCACGCAUCGAGGUGUUGUAAAAGCUGCCACGGCACUUUUCACCUGUGCAGUGCGAGAUUGGCCAGCCGGUUUAAAAACCCCUCCAAACAAUCAAAGGUUGACCUCGGAUCAGGUAGGGAUACCCGCUGAACUUAAGCAUAUCAAUAAGCGGAGGA